GUAACGGCGAGUGAAGUGGGAAGAGCUCAUGUUUGAAAUCCAGCUCCUUUGUGGGGCUGGAGUUGUAACCUAGAGGAGCGUGAUCGCCUGCCGGCAGGGCCGCGGCUAAGUCCGAUUUGAAAAGGGUACCAAGGAGGGUGGCAGUCCCGUUCGUGCCGCAGUCCCGCCGGCGUUGUGGCCCGCUUCCAACGAGUCGAGUUGCUUGGGAUUGCAGCUCAAAGUGGGUGGUAAACUCCAUCCAAAGCUAAACACGCGUGGGAGACCGAUAGCGAACAAGUACCGUGAGGGAAAGAUGCAAAGAACUUUGAAAAGAGAGUCAAAGAGUGCCUGAAAUUGCUGAGAGGGAAGCGAAGGAAAGUAGUGUCAGUCGAGGGGAUCUCGCAGCCGGGGAAUGGCCCCCAACCGGGCCCUCCCUUGCUAUCCCCCGCACUGUCAGGGGCGGGUGCUCGGCCGGAGGCGGCGGCCUGAGGUAAAGGUGGUCCGAGGUAAGAGCCGGACGAAUGCAGCAAGGACCCGCGCCCCGGUGCCGCGGCCGUCCCUGACGGAAUGUUUUUCUUUACCCCGUCUU
This 568-nucleotide ribosomal RNA is filed under the name Lobophora esperanceae. Its description in RNAcentral is "partial 26S large subunit ribosomal RNA". It matches the Rfam family "Eukaryotic large subunit ribosomal RNA", at positions 83 to 655 of the family's 3401-position model. The record is from RNAcentral. Lineage: Eukaryota; Phaeophyceae; Dictyotales; Dictyotaceae.